Molecule: transfer RNA, 84 nt
Filed under: Lachnospiraceae bacterium
Lineage: Bacteria; Bacillati; Bacillota; Clostridia; Lachnospirales; Lachnospiraceae
Description: tRNA-Leu
Rfam family: tRNA
About the family: Transfer RNA (tRNA) molecules are approximately 80 nucleotides in length.
Source: RNAcentral
GCGGAUGUGGCGGAAUUGGCAGACGCGCAUGAUUCAGGUUCAUGUGAGAUUACUCUCAUAGGGGUUCAAGUCCCCUCAUCCGCA